This 144-nucleotide unclassified non-coding RNA is filed under the name uncultured Ascomycota. Its description in RNAcentral is "sequence contains ITS2". The record is from RNAcentral. Lineage: Eukaryota; Fungi; Ascomycota.
CAACCCUCAAGCCCGGCUUGGUGUUGGGGCUCUGCGCCUGCAGUCCCUUAAAUCCAGUGGCGGACACGCUAGGUCUCCGAGCGCAGUAGUUUCUUCUCGCUCAGGGCGUCCGGCGUGGGCCUGCCUCGCACCCAUCUUUUACAA